RNAcentral lists this long non-coding RNA (11775 nucleotides) under Capsicum annuum. Its description in RNAcentral is "long non-coding RNA (CANN_LNC005223)". The record is from RNAcentral. Lineage: Eukaryota; Viridiplantae; Streptophyta; Magnoliopsida; Solanales; Solanaceae.
UAAAUAAUAUUUCAGAGUCACGUACAACAAGCAUGCUAAUGGAGAAGAACAGUUAGAAAAAAAAUAUGUCACAACUAAUAUGAAUACCCAAUAAGAGUCGCAGAAAUGCAAAAAAAAAACAAAUAGGAGGUUCAUUGUCGCCAAGCACUUAAAGUAUGUAAAUCCAAGAAAAAAUCAUAACCACAUAGUGUAAAAGCAACUAAUGCAUCGUUGAAGAAUACUAACCGUUUUACAGCACAAUAACAAAAGAAGAUUGAACUUUCAAGAGUAGAUAAGAAGUCGUACGAGCAAACAAGAAUUAGCGAUCUCAUAGUAGAAGCAGCAAGCAAAAUUUAGCACUAAGUGUAGUGUAGAAUAUUGUAGAAGUCAGAGUAGGAGUGUAUGAUAAGAGGUCUGACAAUUGAAAGAGAAGGAUGUUUAUAUAGCAAAAGAGUAGAGAAAAUAAAAGGAAAGAGAAUAUUUGCAAAUUCAAUCAAAUCAACUAAAACAAAUAAACUGCACAUAUUUUACCUGAAUAAACAAGUCAAAAUAUUAUUCGAUCUUCAAGAGGCCGUAAAAAUAGGGAUACCAAUGGAUACUUCCCAUGUAAAGAAACAUAAUCACAUCAAAUUAGCACAGAAUAGAUCCAAUUAUAAUUGGGGGUAAACAUCUAUUUGGAUCAAAAAUCCACAUGCUUAAAAAGCAAAAAACAUAAUACACCCAAAGAACUACUAUACUACUGUAAUUACGCUAGUAAUCCAAUCAACUGGCUCAAAUUUUUGGAGUCAACAUUAUGACAGUACACAAUAAAAUUGCAUUCCUAAAAUAAAAUCUAGGAUUGACGAAAAAUUCAAAAUUAGUCAUUUUACAUAAAACAAAUGUGAAACCAGAAAAACAGACCAACAAUAUAACCACAAAUUUUAAGUUUAAAGAAAAGGGGAGCAGAAUAGAAUUAUAAUUGCAUGUAAAAAAUUAACUAUGAAAUUCAACCUAGGAUGGGUUCCUAAGAACCCAUCAUUUUUUCGGUGAGAUGUGGUGGCAGUGUCAUGGGAUGCAUGGAGACACAGCAACGGCGGCUGCAAUAAGAAGGCGGGCCGGUUCGUCGGUAGCUGCUGGUUUGCAUGGCUGGUUUAAGGCGGACACGUCAGUGGCUGGAGCAGAGCUCUUUGGUGGCUUUUGAUGCAGGCAACGGCGAUAGUGAGGUCCGACUAUCGUUAACAGUGCUUCGCCGGUCAUCACAUCUGGUGAAGCAGCAAUGAUGAGAGGCAGCAUUGAUCGAAGGUACGGUAGGAUGGCUGGCUCGCUGGUGAGCUACCAUUAUUUUUCCCAGCUGUGGAGAUGCAUCGGAUCUGGGCGACUAUGGCACUGGGCCUUCAUCGGUGUCGGCUGGUGUUGUUGCCCAUUUAACGGUGCUUAGUCGUCGGAGAGAAAAAUUGAGCAGAGGGGGUUUGGGUUGUGGGCGAACGCCGGUGGCGGAUGGACGGUGGCAGUUGGUGAGUUCUAGAAAGAAGGAGGAGAGAUAGAGAGAGAAAGUGGGGAUGGUGUGCGGUUGAUUUGGUGGAAUGAGUCUAGGGUUAGGGUUUUGAUUUUUUAAAAGGAAAGAAGGAGAUCGUUUGAUCUCAGUCGUUGGAUCAGUUUUGAUCGAAGGCUGAUAUUUAAUGGUUGAGGAAUUGGUCAAAAUUUAAAAAUAAUUUAAAAUUAAGUCCUAAAUUGACUAUAAUUGUAAUAAAUGGCUGAAAUUGGAAUGUCUUGGGUAAAAAAUGGACUAAAAGAUAAAUAAAUCAGGAAAAUUAAUUUAACUUUAGGCUGUUAUUUAAAUAAUAGUAGGGAUAAUAAUAGUAAAUAAUAUAUAAUAAUAAUAAUAAAUAAUAAAUAAUACUAAUAUUAAUAAUAAUAAAUGUUAUAAAAAAUGAUGUAUUUGGAAAUUGAGAGUAUGCCUAUUUAUGAAAAUAAUUAUCUAAAAUUAUGUCGAGAAAUAUUAUAUUUAAAUUAAUGAAUGAUACUGUAAGGUGGUAAAAUAAUUUGUAUAUUUUAAAAUCGUGAAUGGACACAUCAAAAUCUGUUUGACACAAGAAAACUGUGUAAAAGUAUCAACAUUUAAAAUUGGUAAAUUUUGUUAAAAUAACAUCCUAAAAUAAGUAUCAGGAGGUACAAAAUUAGGUGUUAAUAGCUGCCCCUUCGUUUCUUGGGAAUGAUAAAAGAAUUGUCAAGCAACAAAAGUUGAUGUGGUAGCCAAUUUUAUCCGACCGAGGAAGAUUCUUUGGAGUUAAAACAAUAGGAGGUGAUUUUAAAAAUAAUAUGGCUGAGACUUCGAUUUCAAGUCGCCUACAUAUCUCUGGUUUUAUGAGAAUCAGGCCGUUUGUAGUUCUAGAUUUAGGAAUGAACAAUAUUUCUAAAGAAUGUCAAUGAUAAAGGAUGGGCAUUCAAUAAAGGUGUUGUAGGUCGGUCAAUGAGACGGAAUUGAAUGGGAUUUGGAAUAGUGGCGUAUGGAGAAGUUUGAAAAUAUUGAGGUAGGUGAGGUGAUGGAUAAAUAGAUGGAGUAAUAUUUUAGAAACAAAAACUAAAAUUGUCUUUGUUUGUUAUUCCUUCUUUGUUACCUGCAUAUUUACACCGUACUAAAUAAAAAAGGUUAGACAUGUAAGAAAUAAACAUUUGAUAAAUAUAAAGUAAAGGUGGAGACAAGAAAGAUAUCUGUUGUAUUGUGGGAUCAGCGAUUUGGCUUCUCAAUGUACUGUGGAAUCAUGGGAUCAGUUGUUUGUCUUCUCAUUGUGGAGUAAUCUGUACCUAUUAGUCCUAUCACUCUUAGCUCAAUUGGAUAAAAUGGUUAGCAUGGAUAUAUAUGUAUGUAUAGAAGAUUUGAUCAAUAUAGUGAAAACAACCAAAACAAUAAUGAUAAGAAGAGAUAAGAAAGUGUAUCUGUCAUGAGAGAGUAAUGCUUUGUUCAUAUAAAAAUUUAAAGAGGUCGUGCUUAAUCCACACUAUAUCUAGUAAACCAAUAGCAUUUAAUAACACUGAGGCAGUUAUGCUUAGCAUGUUCAGCAGUAGAAAAUAAUAUUCAUUUUUUAGUAACCCAAUUGACUUUCAGAGGACAAUGCUUAGCCUCAGGCAGUUUCUCAAAUUUACAAAACAAUGCUUAGCUUCGAAUAAUUUCUCGAGAGAGGGUAAUGCUUAACCCAACUAAAUUUCAAGGACUAUGCUUAGCCUCAUUCAGUUUCUCAAAAAACAGUAGUGCUUAACCCACUUAACUUUCCAAGGACAAUGCUUAGACUUAGAGAGUUUUUGAUAGAGUAGUGCUUAACUCCAUCAAAUUUCUAAAACAAUGCUUAGUUCGGAUGAUUUCAUGAGAGAGAAGUGGUGCUUAACCCGACUAACUUUCAAGACAAUGUUUAGCCUUAGUCAGUUUCUCGAAAAAGGGCAGUGCUUAAACCACUUAAAUUUCUAAGGACAGUGCUUAGCCUUAGAGAGUUUUUGAUAGAGUAGUGCUUAACUCUAUCAAGUUUCCUAAAAAAUGAUUAGUUUGGAUGAUUUCUCGAGAGAGGGUAGUGCUUAACCCAACUAACUUUCAAGGACAAUGCUUAGCCUCAGUCAGUUUCUCGAAAAAGGGUAGUGCUUAACCCACUUAACUUUCCAAGGAAAAUGCUUAGCCUUAGAGAUUUUUUGACAGAGUCGUUCUUAACUCCAUCAAAUUUCUGAAACAAUGCUUAGCUUUGGAUGAUUUCUCGAGAGAGAGCAGUGCUUAACCCAACUAACUUUCAAGGACAAUGCUUAGCCUCAGUCAGUUUCUUGAAAGAGGGUAGUGCUUAACCCACUUAACUUUCGACGGACAAUGCUUAGCCUUAGAGAGUUUAUGAUAGAGUCGUGCUGAACUCCAUCGAAUUUUCAAAACAAUGCUUAGCUUUGGACAAUUUCUCGAGAGAAGGUAAUGCUUAACCCAACUAACUUUCAAGGACAAUGCUUAGCCUCAGUCAGUUUCUCGAAAGAGGGUAGUGCUAAACCCACUUAACCUUCCAAGGACAAUGCUUAGCCUUAGGGAGUUCUUGAUAGAAUCAUUCUUAACUACAUCGAAUUUCCAAAAUAAUGUUUAGUUCAAAUAAACUUAUUGAGAGAGGGUAGUACUUAACCCAAUUAACUUUUCAAGAACAAUGCUUAGCCUCAAGAAGUUUAUCUCGAGAGGGUAGUGAUUAACCCACUCAGAACAUAGGAUGAUAAUAAUUAACCUUAUAUUUUGUGAUGGUGUAUGAAAUGCUUGAGAUUUUUACCCGUCACUCUAUACCUACACUCAAAGAAAUAUUGUUAGUUUUAAAAAAGGAAAAAGAUUGAUUCGUGUCUCUGUCAAUUCCUUUGCCCAGGUCCUGAAUCCAUUGUCUUUAUAUCGCUUUCUUGAGAUGCAAUCCUUGAUGAAAAUUUGAGGAUCCUCAAAAAUUUCUGCCCCGGUUUCAUGGCCUCAAUCUUUCUAGCCUUGAAUUUGUUAAAAUGUUUCUUGAUAGAAUUUUUGAGACCCUCUCAAAAAUUCUUCCCCAGUUACAUGUCUCGUCCGUCUUAAACUUGUAGAAUCAUAGAAUUUUUGAAAUCCUUUCAAAAAUUUUGCCCCAGUUACUUGCUUCAGGAAAAUAUGAAAGUUUCAUUGUGAUGAGACCGAACUCAAUAGGAGCGCCUGCGUAUCCCUCUUAAAUGGGAAUCAAGUCAAAUGUAGUUCAAAGUACAUAGGAGAAAUUCGUAUUGUUCCAAGCAUGUGUAAAGAUUAUAGUAACCCAAGUACUUGAGAUACUGAAAUGAGAAGACGACGUGAUAUCCCUUCCUUAAUGUUAGAGACGCCAGUUCUUAAUCAACAUCAAGAUAUGGCCCCAUCACAUUUAUCGCUUUGGUAUCAAUCAGUGCUUGAAUUUUGUCCUUUAAAACACGCCAUUCUUCAGUGGUGUAGCUUGUCAUCCUUGAAUGAUAAGCACAAACUUUGAAAUAAUCAAUCCAUUUAGCAUAUGUAUUCAUUACAAUUGCAGAAAUUGAAGUAAUGUAGCCAUCAACCCUUAAUCUCUCAUAAAGUUGGUCUAUAGGCUCAGCCAAAGGAGUGUACUGUCUUGAUAAUUUUUUUAAAGCUUGGCUUAAGGUAUGAUAAAUUGAUUGGGUCGUAGAUUUGUUGGUGCAUAAGCUAAUGGUUGUUAGAAAGUAGUUGAAAGAAUUUGUGAGCACGCAGGUAGUGCGAGAUAGUUGGUAGGACUAUAAGAUAGUAUGGGGUAAUUCUAUGUCGUUGCGGGGAAUGAAGGUGCUUGAUAUAUGGGUGUUUGGUAUUGAAGCGGAGGAGGUGGUGUUUGGUUUUUGGGAUUUUGAGUAGUCAAGAUAGUAUUUACUUCCUUCAUGUUAUUAUUCUCAUCAGCCUGUAAAGUCUUAAUCGCUUGCAGUGCCUCCAAAUUCGUUAUCAUGCCAUUUUAAUGACUUCUUCAAUUCUCUCGCCCAAUUUGAUGAUGUCAACAAGCUUUUGAUCCUCUAUAAGAAUCAUCCUUUCAUAAUAUUGUGGCUCUUGGGAACGUAUGAAAAAUUCUUUCAUUUGACCUUCCUCUAAAGGAGGAUGCACCUUACAAGCUUCACGUAUCCACCUCAAUCCAUAUACUCAACACGAUUUUGUAGGUUUCUUCUUUAACUUCUGAAUGUAGAACGAAUCAGGCACAUUCUAAAUACUAAACCCAAAUCUUUCUAUAAAAGCCGAGGCUAUGUCGAUCCAUUUCGACCAUUUUGUUGCAUCUUGUGGACAUACCAUGACAAAGCAUCUUCAGUGAGACUUUUAUGAAUAAUUUCCUAAGAAUCUACUCGUUUUUUCCAACUCUAACUAGCUUGUAGUAGUAUAGUUUCAAAUGGACUUUCAAAUCUCCAGUCCCAUUGUACAUUUCAAAUUUAGAAGGUUUGUAACUCCUGGCAGUUCAACGUCAGGGUGCACGCAUGGGUCCUCAUAACUUAGCCCUUUCAACUCUUUAUUACCUUCAAGUUGUUCCAAUCUUUCAACCACGGAUUGCAUAAGGGCAGCAUUUUCUAAAGGUUUGGAUUUAUAUUGGUGGUAGGUAAAUAGGGUCGUUUUGUCAUAACUCAAAUGUAAAGUAUGGCUGCUUGGAUCAUGAAAAUGAGGCAUAUUUGUGGUAAAUGUUGGCGGCAUAUUAUGGACAUAUGAUGAUAUUUGCAAAUUUAGUAGGACUGGAUAUGUGUGGUAUUGUGGUAGACAAGAAUGUGGAUAUGAGUUAUGUUUAGGAAGCGUGUAUAUGUGAUUUGAAUUGUUUGGGGGUUGUGAAAUAGGAAGUGAUGGUAAGGGAUGACUUGUGAAGAUGGGAUGGGAUUUAAUAGUUGUGUUACCCUCAAUUUGUGGUUUGAGAGGAGAAUUCAAAGCAAGGGGUAGAUUAGAUAAGUUACGGGCUUGUGACAAUUUCCUUUGUAGUUGAAGGAUUCUUUGCUCUAUUUGUAAGAUCAUCUCAUUAUGCUCAUUUCUAGCAUCGUUGUUAUCACCCAUUUCAUUGUUUUGGUGACUAAGCUUUAAGAGAAGGAGACUGAGCCUUGAUGGGCGAGAUAAUGCACGAAUCAAUCCUUUGGGCGUGAAAGAAAAAAUAAAUAAAAUUAAAAUUAAAAAGAAGAAAGAAAAAAAAGUUAAGUUAGUAAGAUAUGUAGUGAAAAAAUAAACAUGUUAAUAUGCCAGAAUAAAAUGUUUUAUAAUGUACGGAGCCUUAUUAAGUCCGAAGUAGGUCGAGAAUGACAAAUAUAUAUGACUUACGAUAUUAUAAUCCAAGUCUGACGUAAAAGAAGUUUGGAAUUAGAAAUUCCUAACCACAUUUGCUCAAUCUUUGGUUCAGAUUACUUUAUCACGAUCACAAGAAGCAUAGCAUGAAUAUUUAUUGUUGGUAGGAUAAGGCGAGAAUAAAGAAAUAAAUUUCAAAUAGUGUUUCUCCUUGGGCGAGAAGAAAAAUGAUGAAAUUUUUUUGCAUGUUUGUCAUAACGCAGAUUUUCAAAUGAAUCGAUGUUUGAAAAAUAGCAAUUUGAACAAAACAGGAGCGAGUGUACCUAGUAAGAGAAGAGAUAGUAUGAUAAUAUGAGUCAUUUUGUCAAAGAGGACUUUAGGACGAAUGGGUGGGUUGGGAUUUAAGCUUUAGAAGUGAAUUGAUGUUAAAAGACAAAAGAUAAAUGAUAAACAAGACUUAGGUACUGUGCAUACUUGGAGUUGAUGGGGUGAACAAGUAAAUAAUGAUAAGAUAUUAAAAGAUGCACGUAGAAUGUUGAAGGCAUUUUAUUUUGAAAAGAGGGGAAGAUUGAAGAUUUAAAAAUUUUGACGUAUUUUGUUUGAAAUAUUUUGAGAAUUUGAAAGAUUGUAAAAGGUCGUUGGAAUAAAAAGCUUCUAAUUCUCACCCUUAUGACAUUAUGGAAUGGUGGUGAAAGAUAUAGAGAAUAUGAUUUGAUAGAAAAAACUACUGGACUGAUCACAUUUUCAAAAAUUAGGACGUUUUGUAAAAUGGAGGGAAAAGAAAGACCGUAUCCUUAUAAAGGAUUGCCUACAUAUCUUGUUGGAACAAGAAUCAGGUCAGACGUAAAUCAAAAUUUUGAGAGUUAUAUAAGUUGAAUAACAAGUGAGGAUGUUGGAGGAUUUUGAAUAGGCCCUAAGAGUGUAUUGUAGGGUCCUAACAUUGUACGAACUUUAAGAGUAAAGAGCUCUAAAGUGAGGCACACUAAAUGUAAGGAGUGACUAAGGCAAUAACGGAAACAACAAGAUAAGUAGGAUGUCAAUACAUACAUAGAAAUGCAGAACAUAACAAAUAAUUUUGAGUCCCUUUGAGGUCGUGAACCUCUUUGAACUUUGAAUGAGACUAACAUUCAAUGCGUCAAGGAUGCCAAGGCAUCCUACGUUGAAUGGGACGCAUAUUCCUUAAUAAAAGAAAUAUGUAGCUAAAACCUAAAGGGCAAGAGUGGGUUAAUGACAUAGUUCCCUCGAGUGGACAACUCGAGAGUGGGAAAACUUGUGGUUGUCAACGCACGGCUGAUUGACCGAUCCAUAAGGCAUUUCUCGAAGGGUGUUUUAGGAAAGAACGUCCGUGCAACCACGCAAUUGUUCGUACAAAAAAAAUAAAGGAGAUCCCAAGUGGAGGAAAGUAUGAGCGGGAUACCAAUUAUAUAAAGCAGUAAGAAUAGCACAUAGAAACAUAUAAUAACAUGCUUUAGUAAUAAAAAAAAUAAACAUUAAAACACAUAUCCAAUAAAAGAAAAGUAGACAUGGAGAAAUAUUAAUAACACAAAAAGGAAAAAGGAGAAAGGACUAAUAAAUCAUGAUGUAAGUAAACGAUAAAAGAAGAACAUAUAAAAAAUAAAUUAAGAUGUCAAACAUCAUCAAAACAAAAGGAGAGAAUCCUACAUGAAGCACAAAUUUGUAAUGGUUAGAACUUAAAAUCCCCAGCAGAGUCGCCAUUCUGUCGCGCCCCAUUUUCCUUGCAAAAAGCGAGAUUCGACGUGACCACUCUUUUUGGAAUUAUUUCGAGAGGAGAGUGAAGAGUCGCCACCUAACUAAUUAAGGUGUGUUAGGGCACCAGUCUAAGCCAACUACAAACCUUUUUUAUUGUUUUGUCUUAGCUCACAAGAAAUUUGGUUAAGAGUUCAAAUUACAUCAAAAGAAAGUGUUAGGCACCUUUUGAGGUCCACGAAGGUAGUUUCCGACCGAAUUCAUAUUUUACGUGGGUAUUCUACGUGCUCAAAUAAGGUCGCUUAUUUCAUUAUUAAUUGAUGCUAACUAAGUGAUAAAAUAGUAAAUAAGUAAACAUGUUAUUUAAUUAUUUUUAAUUAAUAAUUAUCUAUGUGAUAAAAAUCAAUUAAACAUAGGAGAAGAAAGAAAUGACAUGAGUAUAUUAAAUUAAGAAACAUAAACUAUCCUAAAAAAAAUAUAGUAUUAAUUGAAUUAAUAAAGUAAACCAUUUUCAAUUUGAAUAAAGUUGUUUGAAGAAAAUGUUUGUCACUUUUAUAGAAAAGAUGUCACGAUAUUAUUAAUCACGCCCUUUUACCUUGGCAACAAUUUUGAUUGGAGAUCGGUCUUAAGUAAAAAUAAUAAUAAUAUAAUUUUUAAAAGACAAGUGAAAAUUUGAGUAUCAAAAUAUAACACAUAAAAAUAUUUAUAUAUGUAUAAAUAUACACAUAUUCAAAAAAAACAUUGGUUAGUGGUAUUCCCGAGGACGCGUCGGCUUGCUUUUAAAAUAUGAGAAUUAAAAAUCGUAAUUCUUUUUACUUUCCCGCCAACUAUAAGUUAGGAGAUAGUGUAUAUGUAAUUAAUAAUUUUUAAAAGACAUUGUCCAAUUCAAGUUGUAAAAAGCCAGAAAAAAAGAAUUAAACCAAAAUGUUAGCAAUUAAUGUUGUGUUUUAAAAAUGUUUGCAUAAACAAAGUAGGAAAAUUAGUUAAUAUGCUGAAAAUAUUAUUUGAAGACUGAAAAUUAACAUAUAAUUGUUGAGAAUGUGAUUUAAAAUGCGAAAAUGUCAUUUGUUAUAUGUCAAAGUUAUGCCAAAAGUAAAUAAAUUUGUUGUAACCUAAGUUGACAUAUUCAAACGUGAUUUAACGAGGCAAAAUUAAUUAAACUCCUAAAAGUAUGAUUUAUAAGAGAUUAAAAUAAAUCCUAAAUUAGGUUUGCCUAAGUGAUUUGCAUAAUACGUAAAGCACAUAAAUCCCUUCCCCCAAAACAGUCCCAUAAAUAUUAUUACAACAUAUCCUUUGUACAAUAAUCCUCACAGGCCAAUAUUAAAUGAAAUAAAAAAAAAAAAUACGAAGAGCUAGAUUGGAUAGCUCUUAACGACUACAUGCCAACUCUGUCUCGUCUAAAUACUUGUCCUUAACCUGUGAUAACAAAGAAAUAACCAAAACACAUUCCGAAUCUAGAAUACCUUUAGUGACACAUAACCAACCUUUGAUGCUGUCGAGAUCCUGGGGAUCCCAGGCAGGCUCAUGCCAAAGAAGCUAUGUGACGUGUAAAUAAUAUUUCAGAGUCACGUACAACAAGCAUGCUAAUGGAAAAGAACAUUUAGAAAAAGAAAAUAUGUCACAACUAAUAUGAAUACCCAAUAAGAGUCACGGAAAUACAAAAAAAAAAUAGGAGGUUCAUGUCGUCAAGCAUUUAAAGUAUGCAAAUCCAAGCAAAAAUCAAAACCACAUAGUAUAAAAGGAACUAAUGCAUCGUUGAAGAAAACUAACCGCUUUACAGCACAAUUACAAAAGAAGAUUGAACUUUCAAGAGUAGAUAAGAAGUCGUACGAGCAAACAAGAAUUAGCGAUCUCAAAGUAGAAGCAGCAAGCAAAAUUUAGCACUAAGUGUAGUGUAGAAUAGGGUAGAAGUCAGAGUACGAGUGUAAGAUAAGAGGUCUGACAAUUGAAAGAGAGGAUAUUUAUAUAGCAAAGGAGUAGAGAAAAUAAAAAGACAGAGAAUAUUUGCAAAUUCAAUCAAAUCAAUUAAAGAAAAAUAAACAGCUCCUAUUUACCUAAAUAAACAAGUCAGAAUAUUAUUUGAUCUUCAAGAGGCCAUCACUAGGUUUAGUGUAGAAGUGUAAGAUAAGAGGUCUGACAAUUGAAAGAGAGGAUAUUUAUAUAGCAAAAGUGUAGAGAAAAUAAAAGGAAAGAGAGUAUUUGCAAAUUCAAUCAAAUCAAUUAAAAAAACAUAAACAACUCCUAUUUACCUUAAUAAACAAGUCAGAAUAUUAUUUGAUCUUCAAGAGGCCAUAAAAAUAGGGAUACCAAUGGAUACUUCCCAUGUUAAGAAACGUAAUCACAUCAAAUUAGCACAGAAUAGAUCCAAUUAUAAUUGGGGGUAAACAUCUAUUUGUAUCAAAACUCCACAUGCUUAGCAAGCAAAAAUCACAAUACACCCAAAGAACUACUAUACUGUUGUAAUUGCGCUAGUAAUCCAAUUAACCGGUUCAAAUUUUCGGAGUCAAAAUUAUGACAGUAGACAAUGAAAUUGCAUUCCUAAAAUGAAAUCUAGGAUUAAUGAAAAAUUCAAAAUUUGUCAUUUUACAUAAAACAAACGUGAAACCAGAAAAACAGACCAACAAUAAAACCAUAAAUUUUAAGUUUAAAGAAAAGAGUAGCAGAAGAGAAUUAUAAUUGCAUGUAAAAAAUUAAAUACGAAAUCCAACCUAGGAUGGGUUCCUAAGAACCCAUCAUUUUUUCGAUGAGUUGUGGUGGCAGUGUCAUGGGAUGCACAGAGAGACAGCAAUGGUGGCUACAAUGAGAACGAAGGUUGGUUCAUGGGUAGCCGCUGGUUUGCAUGGCUGGUUUGAGGUGCCACGGCGACGGCUGGAGCUACGGAGCUCGGUUUUGAUGUCUUUUGAUACGAGCAGCGGCAAUGGUGAGAUCCGGCUAUCAUUAACAGUUCUUUACUGGUCAUCACCUACGAUGAAGCAGCAAUGAUGGGAGGCGACGCUGAUCGGAGGUGCAGUGGGACGUUCGGCUCACUGGUAAGCUGCCGUUAUUUAUUUCAGCGAUGGAGAUGUACCGGAUCUGGGCGACGAUGGCGCUGGGCCUUCACCAGUGGCGGCUAGUGUUAUUGCCUGUUCAACAAUGCUUAACCGUCAGAGAGAAUAAUAGAGGAGAGGGGGUUCGAGCUGUGGGCGGUCACCGGUGGCGGCUGGUGAGUUCUAGAGAGAAGGAGGAGCGAUAGAGAGAGAAAGUGGAGGUGGUGUUCGGUUAAUUUGGUGGAAUGAAUCUAGGGUUAGGGUUUUGAUUUUUUAAAAGAAAAGAAAGAGAUCCUUUGAUCUCAUUGGAUCAGUUUUGAUCGACAACUAGAUUUAGAGGUUGAGGAAUUG